This 105-nucleotide microRNA precursor is filed under the name Canis lupus dingo (dingo). RNAcentral describes it as "mir-8834 microRNA precursor family". It matches the Rfam family "mir-8834 microRNA precursor family". The record is from Rfam by way of RNAcentral. Lineage: Eukaryota; Metazoa; Chordata; Mammalia; Carnivora; Canidae.
AGGAGGAACAACCGCAGUGGCGGGGCCAGCUCUGCAGCCCUGGAGUCAGCCCCCGCUGUGGCUACAGAGCUCUCGGUCUGCAGGGCCUGGAGGCUCCGGGGCGGG